ACUCCUACGGGAGGCAGCAGUGGGGAAUAUUGGACAAUGGGGGAACCCGUGAUCCAGCCAUGCCGCGUGUGUGAAGAAGGCCUUAUGGUUGGUAAAGACACUUUAAGCGAGGAGGAGGCUACUGAGACUAAUACUCUUGGAUAGUGGACGUUACUCGCAGAAUAAGCACCGGCUAACUCUGUGCCAGCAGCCGCGGUAAUACAGAGGGUGCGAGCGUUAAUCGGAUUUACUGGGCGUAAAGCGUGCGUAGGCGGCCAUUUAAGUCAAAUGUGAAAUCCCCGAGCUUGAACUUGGAAUUGCAUUCGAUAACUGGAGUGGCUAGAGUAUGGGAGAGGGA
This 337-nucleotide ribosomal RNA is filed under the name uncultured bacterium. RNAcentral's name for it is "bacterial SSU rRNA". It matches the Rfam family "Bacterial small subunit ribosomal RNA", at positions 335 to 659 of the family's 1533-position model. The record is from RNAcentral.